AGCGAACGCUGGCGGCGUGCUUAACACAUGCAAGUCGAGCGAAGGUGUUUCAAGGGUAACCUUGAGAUACACUUAGCGGCGGACGGGUGAGUAAUACGUGGAUAACUUACCUCUAGGCCUGGGAUAACCUCGGGAAACUGGGGCUAAUACCUGAUAAGACCACAUUGUCUACGGACAAAGGGGUAAAGGUGGCUGUGCAAACAGCUAUCGCCAAAAGAUAGGUUUACGUCCCAUCAGGCAGUUGGUGAGGUAAUGGCUCACCAAACCAAAGACGGGUAGCCGGCCUUGGCGGGUGAACGGCCACACGGGGGACUGAGACACGGGCCCCGACUCCUA
This 336-nucleotide ribosomal RNA is filed under the name uncultured bacterium. RNAcentral describes it as "bacterial SSU rRNA". It matches the Rfam family "Bacterial small subunit ribosomal RNA", at positions 29 to 341 of the family's 1533-position model. The record is from RNAcentral.